Molecule: ribosomal RNA, 468 nt
Filed under: uncultured bacterium
Lineage: Bacteria
Description: partial 16S ribosomal RNA
Rfam family: Bacterial small subunit ribosomal RNA
Source: RNAcentral
GACGAACGCUGGCGGCGUGCUUAACACAUGCAAGUCGAACGGAAAGGCCCUGCUUUUGUGGGGUGCUCGAGUGGCGAACGGGUGGGUAACACGUGAGUAACCUGCCCUUGACUUUGGGAUAACUUCAGGAAACUGGGGCUAAUACCGGAUAGGAGCUCCUGCUGCAUGGUGGGGGUUGGAAAGUUUCGGCGGUUGGGGAUGGACUCGCGGCUUAUCAGCUUGUUGGUGGGGUAGUGGCUUACCAAGGCUUUGACGGGUGGCCGGCCUGAGAGGGUGACCGGCCACAUUGGGACUGAGAUACGGCCCAGACUCCUACGGGAGGCAGCAGUGGGGAAUAUUGCACAAUGGGCGGAAGCCUGAUGCAGCAACGCCGCGUGCGGGAUGACGGCCUUCGGGUUGUAAACCGCUUUCGCCUGUGACGAAGCGUGAGUGACGGUAAUGGGUAAAGAAGCACCGGCUAACUACGUG